This 1119-nucleotide long non-coding RNA is filed under the name Marmota monax (woodchuck). The record is from RNAcentral. Lineage: Eukaryota; Metazoa; Chordata; Mammalia; Rodentia; Sciuridae.
ACAGAGUUCCUCAGGCCUUGUCACAGCAGUGUGGAGUUAAGUGAAGGCAGGGGAUAGCUGUAGUAAGGCUGAGCUAGGCCAGCUGGGCACCAAGUGGGGGAUUGCGUGGCUCAAUGGCAGCAGCUUUUUAAUUACUUGGGUUCUCUGGGUUCAACUUUGGUAGCCAUCAUGCCAGGGUCUUAGGGGAAUCCUCUCUCAGAAAAGACUGGGUGUUACUCCUCAUUUCAAUGUCAAGAUUUAAUAUAGGAGUUAUUAGUGACCUUUUAAUGUGGAACUUCCCAGGCUUCAUCUGAUUCCUGUGUCGUCUACCAUCUCCCCAUUUUUGAUGGCCACUGACACUUGUCUGUCCCUUCUCCUCUUCCUUGUUCCUGUUCUUUCCCUCAUUUAUUCUUUCCUUCCACACUUCUCUCAUUUUUUGGAUGAGUAGGGCAGGUUAGGGAGGGUUUGAGGAGAAGAGGUGAAAGGUGGUGACCCCAUUAGACUUGGUCAGCAGUUCUGUCGUCAAGCUGGAGCACCCCUAACCCUGAGCAUGUGAAUGCUGAGCCAUGUGGUCGUGACAUUUCUAGCCCAUCAACCUUCAUAAGGCUCUUUAAUAGAAAUCGCACAGAAAAAGUCCCUUUUUAUGCUAGUCCAAUCAGUGGAGGAGAAGGGUACCAGUGUCAAGUAGGAGAUUCUUUUCCUAGUCGCAAUCCCAGUCUCAAAUUAAUGAGGUAAAUGCAGGCUGAAAGCAAAGGAAGGGAAAAACUGGCUCACCUUAAUUUUCUCCAACUCAACACCACAAAACCAACCAGCACCCAGAUUAAGAAACAUGGCUAGCAAGUCAGUGAGACCCUGUCUCUAAGUAAAAUACAAAAUAAGACUGGGGAUAUGGCUCAGUGGUCGAGUGCCCCUGAGUUCAAUCCCUAGUACCCCCACCCCUGAAAAAAACAUGGCUGGACUUCAAGUACUUCCUGUCCACCCCUACCCCCAGGAAUAAGUACUGUCCUGAUAUUGAAUAGCACAGAUCAGUUCCCCUGCCGUUGCUGGGGAGGUGCUACAUGAACAUUUUAAAUAACUGAACACCGGCUUAUAGGUAGUGAAGGUAGCUGAACCUCGUGAGCUGUAGCUACAAGUUUCGCC